AGGUGCGAUCAUACCAGCACUAAUGCACCGGAUCCCAUCAGAACUCCGCAGUCAAGCGUGCUUGGACGAGAGUAGUACUAGGAUUGGUGACCUACUGGGAAGUCCUCGUGUUACACCUC
Non-coding RNA from Lupinus angustifolius (narrow-leaved blue lupine), 119 nucleotides. The record is from Rfam. NCBI's taxonomy places the organism in Eukaryota, Viridiplantae, Streptophyta, Magnoliopsida, Fabales, Fabaceae.